AGCCACACUGGAACUGAGACACGGUCCAGACACCUACGGGUGGCAGCAGUCGAGAAUUUUUCACAAUGGGCGCAAGCCUGAUGGAGCGACGCCGCGUGGGGGAUGAAUGGCUUCGGCCCGUAAACCCCUGUCAUUUGCGAACAAACCUCGCUAUUUAAAAGAUGGCGAGCUGAUUGUAGCGAAAGAGGAAGGGACGGCUAACUCUGUGCCAGCAGCCGCGGUAAUACAGAGGUCCCAAGCGUUGUUCGGAUUCACUGGGCGUAAAGGGUGCGUAGGCGGUGAGGUAAGUCGGAUGUGAAAGCUCGGAGCUCAACUCCGAAAUGGCAUUGGAAACUACCUCGCUAGAGGAUCGGAGGGGAGACUGGAAUUCUCGGUGUAGCAGUGGAAUGCGUAGAUAUCGAGAGGAACACCAGUGGCGAAGGCGAGUCUCUGGACGAUUCCUGACGCUGAGGCACGAAAGCCAGGGGAGCAAACGGGAAUAGAUACCCCGGUAGUCCUGGCCGUAAACGGUGCGCAUUUGCUGUGAGCGGAUUCGACCCCGUUCGUGGCGGAGCCAACGCGUUAAAUGCGCCGCCUGGGAAGUACGGUCGCAAGAUUAAAACUCAAAGAAAUUGACGGGAGCCUGCACAAGCGGUGGAGUAUGUGGCUCAAUUCGAUCAACGCGAAGAACCUUACCUGGCCUUGACAUGCACGUAGUAGAAGGGUGAAAGCCUAACGAGGUAGCAAUACCAGCGUGCACAGGUGCUGCAUGGCUGUCGUCAGCUCGUGUCGUGAGAUGUUGGGUUAAGUCCCGCAACGAGCGCAACCCUUGUGUCCUGUUGCCACUCGAACGAGAGUUCGAAGCACUCUGGACAGACUGCCUCGCUUAAACGAGGAGGAAGGUGGGGAUGACGUCAAGUCAGUAUGGCCCUUACGGCCAGGGCUGCACACGUACUACAAUGCCCGGCACAGAGGGAAGCGAGACUGUAAAGUGGAGCAAAUCCCCUAAAACCGGGCCCAGUUCAGAUUGUCGUCUGCAACUCGACGGCAUGAAGCUGGAAUCGCUAGUAAUGGCGCAUCAGCUACGGCGCCGUGAAUACGUUCCCAGGCCUUGUACACACCGCCCGUCACAUCAUGAAAGCCGUUUGUACCCGAAGUCACCGUGCUAACCGCAAGGAUGCAGGUGCCGAAGGUAUGGAUGGUGAUUGGGAUGAAGUCGAAACAAGGUA
Molecule: ribosomal RNA, 1208 nt
Filed under: metagenome
Description: bacterial SSU rRNA
Rfam family: Bacterial small subunit ribosomal RNA
Source: RNAcentral